Molecule: ribosomal RNA, 123 nt
Filed under: Danio rerio (zebrafish)
Lineage: Eukaryota; Metazoa; Chordata; Actinopteri; Cypriniformes; Danionidae
Source: RNAcentral
AGUCACAGCCAUAUCACCCUGCAGCACAAGACCGGUUACUCACUGAAGCUAAGCAGGGCUGAGCCUGAUCAGUACCUGGAUGGGAGACGGUGACCACAUGGGAAAGCUAGGUUGCUGUUGAAA